AGAUCUCAGACCGGUGCGGUUCGCUUCUUCUAGGUGAAGCUAUACAUGAUAUAACAUUGUUCAAAUGAAAAAAAAAUUAUGAAAGAGAGUCAAGGAUUUAAAGCUCUUCGGGGUUUCCGGCAAACUUCCUCUGUUUUCAGCAACUCCGCCCAUUUUCAGGGACGAGUAAAGUAACAUACUUCAUCACCUCUUCGUGUUCUACACGUGUUUUUUACCCUUGAUUUCAGUCUUCGGUCAAUUUCAGACCACAUAUGUGGCUAUGUUUCUAUAACACAUUAGUCCUGCAGAAGACUUGAGUCAACUGUAUAUGUUUGAAAUUUCAAUGGAGGAAAGAAACCUGGUGUGGAAUUAGUGCCCCCUUUUCCAGGGAUGACUUUGUUUAUGAUAAGAUGGGCAAAUCUGUAGCCUAUAGAAUCAAGCUAUUCACCAUUUUUUUUUUCUCUUCAGUCUUCACAGCAACUUGAGAAACCUUGCCAGACUUGUUCAUUUUAAACUCUCUGCCUCCCAAUUAAAAAAUUUGAGCUAUACUUUGCGGCUUAAAUUAAUGGAGAUCUCAUGCAUGGGUGUGAGGAUUUGGUCAGUAUUCAUGCAACUGUUUCCCCUGAUGAUCAUCACUUUGGCCUCUUCAAAUCUGAGAGGAAAUGAGGUGGAAAGACGGUCCUUGCUUGCCUUUAAAUCUGAAGUAGUCAGUGAUCCUCUGGGCAUCCUUAGCUCCUGGAAUGAUUCCUCCAACUUAUGUGAUGAGUGGCGAGGGAUUACUUGCGGCCGAAGACACCAGCGAGUCACGGUUCUGGACCUCCACUACAGCCAGCUGGAGGGUAUUCUAUCUCCACACAUCGGAAACUUGAGCUUUCUCAGGACAUUAAAUCUCCAAAACAAUAGCUUCAACGGCACCAUCCCUCAAGAAGUUGGUCGAUUGUCUCGGCUGCAACGACUACACCUCGGGGACAACUUCUUCAAAGGUGACAUCCCCAUCAAUAUAUCUCAUUGUUUUAAUCUCCAAUAUCUUGUCUUGGCUAAUAACACUCUUAGUGGGAAACUUCCACUGGAACUUGGCUCAUUGUUCAAGCUUAGAGUACUUACUUUGCGUAGGAACAAUUUAGUUGGGGAAAUUCCAUCUUCUUAUGGAAAUCUUUCUUAUCUUCAAAUUCUUUCUCUGGAAGAAAAUAUUCUGUAUGGUGGUCUCUUGAGUAGCCGCCUUGGGGAAUUAAAAAGCUUAAGACAUCUCGCAUUGGGUUCAAAUAGAUUGACUGGUACCAUCCCUCUCUCCAUAUACAACCUUUCUUCCAUUGAGCACAUUUCUGUGAUUGGAAACCAAUUUCAUGGAACUCUUCCUUCUGGGUUGGGCCGCACAAUAUUUCCAAAACUUCGAACCUUUCAUUUCCAAAUGAACAAUUUCAGAGGACCAAUUCCAUUUAGAAUCUCAAAUGCAUCCCAGCUUUCACAAUUUGGGAUCUCUAUGAAUUAUUUUACCGGAAAAGUUCCUAGUCUUGCAAGAGUGUCCAAUUUGGUUCGCUUGGAAAUGGAUGAUAAUAAUCUGGGAAAUGAGGAUGGUGACUUGGAUUUUCUCUCUUCUCUGGUCAAUUGUACCAGUUUAGAACUUCUGGAUAUUAGUGGGAAUAACUUUCAAGGAGUGCUACCUGAAUCUAUCGGCAAUCUCUCAACAAGUCUCGAGGUAAUGAGCUUAGGAAGGAAUCAGCUAAGCGGAAGCAUUCCCAUUGGGAUUGGAAAUCUCCUCAACUUGGGAGUACUACGCUUCGAGACAAACCUAUUGACAGGCAACAUACCAAAUUCGUUAUGUAAGAUAAGUAAAUUGUACAAUCUGUUUUUAAGUGAUAAUCAGCUAUCAGGUACUAUCCCAACUUGUCUGAAUAAUUUAACUUUGUUAAGUCGCUUAGUUCUCAAUUCAAACAACUUGCAAGGAGGCAUACCGCAGAGUCUUGGCCAAUGCACGAAUCUGUUAGCUUUGGUUCUUUCUCAAAAUAAUCUCACCGGUCUAAUUCCACAAGAAGUCAUCCGUUUACCAUCCCUGUCACUAGUAUUGGAUAUAUCCAGUAACCAUUUUAGUGGUAACAUUCCCAUGGAAGUAGGUUUUUUGUCUAAUCUUGGUAUCUUGAAUCUAGCUGAAAAUAUAUUAUCUGGUGAGAUUCUUCAAAGCUUAGGGGACUGCACAAGUCUAGAAUAUUUGAACCUGAGUGGAAACAUGUUGCAUGGGACAAUUUCUCAAUCAUUGAGUUCUUUGAGAGGCCUUCAAUAUCUUGACCUCUCUCGUAACAAUUUCUCUGGAACAAUUCCCAAUUAUUUGCAGACUUUCCCCUUCUUGCAGAAUUUGAACUUCUCCUUUAAUCAUUUUAGAGGGGAAGUACCCAUAAAAGGUGUUUUCAAGAAUACAAGUGCGGUUUCUUUCUUGGGAAAUGGACGACUUUGUGGACGUGUACCUCAGUUAAGAUUGCCUAUCUGUCCCCCCGAUCUACCUAGGAAGCUGCCUAAGCCAGCUAAUGCAUUAUUUCAUAAGCUGGCUGUUAUCAUAAUUUCUUUUGGGGCCAUUGGAGUUAUUUGGUUAUUGUACUUAAUGCUCCUUUUUAGAUCAACAGAAUCAGGAGUUGAGUCAUCUUCAGAACCAUCCUUGGAUGUUUCAUUCUUAAAAUUGUCAUACAGCGAUCUCCUGAAAGCAACUGAUGGCUUUUCUUCUCGGAAUUUAAUUGGUUCCGGUAGCUCUGGUUCUGUGUUCUGGGGAGUUCUCGAUCAACCUGAAGAAAUAAUUGUUGCUGUGAAAGUACUCAAUCUUCAAAGUUCGAGAGCUUCUAGAAGUUUCAUAUCUGAAUGUGAAGUGUUGAAAAGCAUAAGGCACCGGAAUCUGGUCAGACUGGUGACCGCUUGCUCAAGCAUUGAUUUUCAAGGGAACGAAUUCAAAGCUUUGGUCUUUGAGUUCAUGUUGGAUGGAAAUCUAGAUGAAUGGUUGCACUAUUCAGCUCAAAGAGUGGUUGGGGCCCCAACAGUGCAGCUACAUUUGAAUCUUCUUGAAAGGGUAAAUAUUGCCAUUGACGUAGCUAGUGCUCUGGAUUACUUGCACAAUCGCUUUCACGUCCCAAUAGUUCACUGUGAUUUGAAGCCGAGUAAUGUUCUCCUAGAACAUGACAUGACUGCCUGUGUUUGUGAUUUUGGGUUAGCAACCUACCUCCCAGAUACUUCUUGUCCACUUCCUUCAGUACAGAACCCUUCCAAUUCGAUAAGGGGUACCAUUGGCUAUAUUGCCCCAGAAUAUGGCAUGGGAAGUGCGGUGUCAACAUAUGGGGACGUAUAUAGCUAUGGAAUCCUGUUACUGGAGAUGCUUACUGGUAAGAGGCCAACAGACAACAUGUUUAGAGAUGACAAGAACUUGCACAACUUUGUUCUGAUGGCUUUGCCUGAACAUGUGAAAGAAAUAUGUGAUCCGGUGCUUCUUCAAGAAAAGGAAAGCAGCACUAGUACAAAUCCCGCAAGCAAUAGGAAUGAUGUCCAAAAUGAUGAAACACAGAGAGUUGAAGAGUGCCUUAUUUCCAUUGCUAGGAUAGGAGUUGCUUGUUCUGUGCAUUUGCCCAAAGCGCGAAUGGAGAUUGGGGAAGUUUUAGCUGAAUUACGUGUGAUAAGGGAUGUACUGACUGGAACCGGGAUGCCUAUAGAGCAUAUGAUCACUGCCUAAGGCCUUAGCCGCCGCCAAUGAUUUGUUGUGGGAGAGUCCACAUAGAGCCACGGAUAAACCCGCUUUCACUAUUUGGAAAGUGAAAUUUGCAGAGUUCUGAUUCUGAAAAUCCAAUGGACCGCCUCUUCUUUCAAGACACGUGUUAAGACGGAUUUUAUCAAACAGGUUUCUGCAUCACCCACCAAAACCUUGAUGAAUACACCUGCUCUGAUUUCAACAGCACCAUAUUUUCUGCCUAAUUUUCUCCUGCAAAAUUCAAAAUGUAA
RNA transcript from Rosa chinensis, 3948 nucleotides. It is a transcript of the gene named probable LRR receptor-like serine/threonine-protein kinase At3g47570, with no coding region annotated. NCBI's taxonomy places the organism in Eukaryota, Viridiplantae, Streptophyta, Magnoliopsida, Rosales, Rosaceae. The record is from RefSeq and is a predicted model, not a curated record. The transcript is spliced from 3 exons.